This is a long non-coding RNA of Zalophus californianus (California sea lion), 653 nucleotides long. RefSeq lists it as uncharacterized. The record is from RefSeq and is a predicted model, not a curated record. The transcript has 4 exons. Lineage: Eukaryota; Metazoa; Chordata; Mammalia; Carnivora; Otariidae.
CAGCCGGAAGUGGGCAGGGCUUGCAUGGGGGCGGAGCUUUCUUGGCAAACCUUCCUGGCUUUUUGAGAGCCUUGAGCCACCAUGUGAGAAGACUGCCAUGCUGGAGAGGCCACAUUCUGGUCAACAGAGCCAGCCAAGCCCAGUGGUCUAGUCAUCCCUGCCAUGGUGCCAGAGAUAAGGAUGGCUCUGAUAGCAGAAGGGGGAAUGACUUUGAGAGGAGACAAUGGAUGGGAGGAAGAGACACUGAUUUGGAACUUACUGUGAUGUUUUAGGCAAGAGACGCAGAUGAUCCAAAACCGAAUGGAGGUAAAAUCAUGCUGAGAAAUAUACUGGAAAUCUGGUCUCUGCAAAUUAAACAUCUUCCAAGAGAAUCAACCACAGUGGAGAAGGUCUGGACAGUUUUGAUAAUCUUUCCUGCAGCUUUGGCUGAGAGAGGAUCAAAAGGGGAUUGAGAGUUAAAAAAAAAAAAAAGUCUCCAUAUGAUAACCCUAUGCCAUGGUUAUGGUUAGAACCGGUUUUAGAUCUGUGUAAUUAAUUAUUGACAAUGAUGACUAAUGGGUAAUGGCCUCACUUCAGUCAACAACUUCUAAGACUGACCUUUCUAAUCAACACAAAAUAUACUUUUAAGGCUGAUGUCAACUUAUCUCUGUAAU